Molecule: long non-coding RNA, 368 nt
Filed under: Carica papaya (papaya)
Lineage: Eukaryota; Viridiplantae; Streptophyta; Magnoliopsida; Brassicales; Caricaceae
Description: long non-coding RNA (CPAP_LNC014269)
Source: RNAcentral
GGGAGAGAACGGAUGGAGAGAUAUGGGAAUAAAUGGAAAUGGUUACAAGGCAGAUAAAGGGAGACAAAUUAGACGACCUUAUAAGGGACUGUGGUGUUAAUCUGCAAACCUUCCUAAUGAAACAUGGGUCACUGUUUCUGGUGUAUGGAUCAACUUUAUGUGGGUGUGUCGCCAGCUGGUGGCUGAAAGGUGUGUGAAAAUGGUGUACCUCAUCUACUGUAUUAUUAAAAAUUGUGUAUUGCAUUUGUAAGUUGUAUGUUGUGUUAAUAGUUGUGUGUGUAUGAGUGGCCAAAUCUGAGUUGGAUUUUACAUCAUUUCCUUGUUCACAUUAUCUACUGAUUUUCUUUAUUAUGUAAUGCAUUAACCUG